UUAUAAAACCAUUAGAUCUCAUGAUACUCACUCAUUAUCAAGAGAACAGCAUGGGGAUACCACCCUCAUGAUUUAGUUAUGUUCCACCAGC
This is a long non-coding RNA of Sapajus apella (tufted capuchin), 91 nucleotides long. RefSeq lists it as uncharacterized. NCBI's taxonomy places the organism in Eukaryota, Metazoa, Chordata, Mammalia, Primates, Cebidae. The record is from RefSeq and is a predicted model, not a curated record. The transcript has 3 exons.